Long non-coding RNA from Passer domesticus (house sparrow), 3527 nucleotides. RefSeq lists it as uncharacterized. The record is from RefSeq and is a predicted model, not a curated record. The transcript is spliced from 2 exons. NCBI's taxonomy places the organism in Eukaryota, Metazoa, Chordata, Aves, Passeriformes, Passeridae.
CUAUAUUCUAAUAAUUGUUAUUACUUCCAUACUGUGGAAUAAAUAAUUCUUUUUUUAAAAAUUUACUCUGUGGUGUAAAUAAGCCAUUCUGUCUAAUCGUGAUCACAACCAAUCAGAGCUGUAUUUAUGUAAAUUUAUCUGGUAUUCCAUCGUUAAUCCUGUGGGACAAAUUGCAUUAAGGUUCAAUUCUACCUCUCCAAUCUUUUACACCUUUGACAAAGUCUGGGGCUGGGAUUGGAUCCAGCUGCUCCCAGUCUCCUCUCAUAGAAAGAAUUUUGGAAGUCUAGGGGCUCUGCAGGGGUUUGAGGAUCCAUGGUGCGAUUUUGGGUGGCAUUUCUCCACCUCAUGACGCAGCAGGAGUUUCUCCAAAAAAGAAAUAAAGCUUUUGCCUGAAGCUCCCACUUUGCCCAUGACAGGAACCCCUGUGAGUGUCUGGGACAUCCCGGCUCUUUGGCAGCCUGGGGACUCCUGGAAUGUCACCUGUGGGAAUCCAUGGGAUUAGAGGAUUUUAGAAAAGGUGGGAAAAAGAAAGGCCGCAGAGACAGUAAGGAUAGUGAAAUGCUUAAGCAGCAGAAAAGAGAUAUCAGCAGUAGCGAAGACAUGAGAAAUAGAACAAUAAAGCUAUGUAGUUUGGCUUUCAAAGUUGCAAAAAAGUAUAUUUUAGUAAAUAUUUAGAAGGUUAAAUAUGAAUAGGGCUCUGUGCUUUGUCUUUUGUAAACGAACCAUUGUAUGAGAGAAAAAGUUGCUAUUGUUUUAACCAAAGCUACGUGUGCUUCAUGUGGUUGGAUAGAACGACUGUCAAUAUGCUUUUGCUCUAUGUAAUUGGCUGAAACUAGGUCUGAAACUAUCUUAUAAUAUGUUGUAACACUAAGUUUCCUUGGCCUUCUGUCUGGAUAGCGAGCUGCUCGCAUCGAUCCAUUGCCAUAGCCAUGUAAUGAGACUGAUGCUUUUUAAAUAAACAGCUCACGACGCUGUUCAGGUGUGGUCCCGUUCCGUUCGUGUCUGUAAAUAGUUGCCGGCGUCAAAUGGUGCCCCUCUGUGAGGAGGAUUUUAGACUAGAAUAAAAAAGAAAAUCUUGGAUAAACUCGGGCGCCGGAGACCCAGGAGGAAUACUUCAUCCCUUCGCCUUCUACAUCUGAUGUCUUUGUGCUGGAAUUAGGUGGGUCCCAGCCAAGAACGUCAAACCAUAUCGCACCCCAGAACGUGCUGACGAGUCCAGAACCGAGGAAGCAAGUACGCAGACGUGAGCCGAGCAGAGGGAUCCCGGGUCACGCCUGACGUUCCUUGUGCAUCGGUGGAACCUGCAAAUUCUGACUUUGUGUUAAUGUUAUUUAUAAGUGUGUCAAUUGUAUGUCAAAUGUUUGUUUCGUAGAGCUGAUUUUUGGCAAAAGUUUAGGUUUUUGUUUUUGUUGAAAGCAAAAUUUUAAAAAUUGAUAUAUAUGUAAGGAUUCUGCCAAAACUUAGUUCAUGGAUAAGAUGAAGCAAAUGCAAGUUGUAUGUUGGUAUUGGUGGGUUUUAAUUUCCUUUUGUCGUGCAGAUUUGCCUGUGGAACAACCGAAAACUAAUGUUUGGGUGACCUUAGCCAAGGCAGCCGGCUCAGAUACCAUAUGUUUGUCUAAUUCGGAACCAGAAAAACCCUUCUCAACCUGUCUAGUUGGUGUGCCAGUAAAAGAGUUGCCUUUAGUCAAAAAACAAUCCAAUGGUAAGCCAGGUGAAAUUGACAAUGGGAACAAUCCCACAGUGAAUUGGAACAUUUGGGCCAAAAAACUUCCUAGGGCAGCUUCUGAACCCCAAGAAUUAGAAAUCCUUGGUUCUUUGACAAUGGAUUUUUGCUUUACCUUCAUAGCAAAUGCUUGGCAAAAAGGUGAUCCUCCAAAUUUCAAUGUUACUCCUCAUUACUUUGCAUAUAGAAAUUUGAGUUUUUGGUGCAAUUCUUCAAACAGUUGGGAUGUGCUUCCUGAGGCUGACCUAUAUCCCCGGCAAUUGCCUAAGGGAUAUUGGUUCAUUUGUGGAGACAGGGCUUGGCAAGGCAUUCCAGCACACCUGGAAGGUGGCCCUUGUAGCAUUGGGAUGCUCACUGUAAUUGCACCCUCAGCUAAAGCGGUCAUGAAAAGGAAACAAAGGAAAACAAGAUCUGCUCAUCAUUACGAUGAGAACUGUCAGAGUGAUUUCAUGCCUUGGAAAGCUGCAAGAAGGGUUUCAGCAAGUAUAUUUUUACCCCAAUUGACUUCAGCAGUAGCUUUGAAACAAUUAGAUCGAGUUGGGUGUUGGCUGAGCAAGCAAACGAAUGCCACAUCCUCUGCCAUUAGUGAUAUGUUGACCGAUGUUGAUAGUGUUAGACAUGCUACCCUUCAAAAUAGAGCAGCAAUUGACUUUCUUUUACUGGCACAAGGGCAUGGUUGUGAGGAAUUUGAAGGACUGUGUUGUAUGAACCUGUCCGAUCAUUCGGAAUCCAUUCACAAGAGCAUACAAAAACUGAAAGACUUGACAGCCCAAAUUAAAGAGGGUAGUGAAUCCUGGUUGGAUGAUCUGUUCCAAGAAUGGAGCUUUGCACCUUGGCUAAGGCAACUUUGCAAGAUAGGUCUCUGUAUAUUGGGUGUUUUGGUAAUGAUGUUGAUAGUAAUCCCCUGCAUACUUCAGUGUGUGCGACGGAUGAUGAACAAAACAGUUAAAGAAGUUUUUGUCAUACAAGAGAGAGAAAUAAGAAGUAGAAGCACAGAGAGUGUUAGAAAUCUCACAGAAAUGACGGAUGAAGGUAUAGAAAUGGAGGAGGGUUUUGAGUUAAGACCCUGGAAUCGACAAGAAUUUUUUGAACAAUGACUUAUAACUAUUGUCAGACAUGAUUCAUAUCUUUUCACUGACUGGGCUUUCACAGCAUUAAAUUGCUGUGCUGUAACAUAGCGAUUAUUAGAGUCUGCAAGAAUAGGCCUCAAGCAGAUAGUAAGCAAAAGUGUUAUAGUAAGGCUAUGAAACGCAAGUAGUGGACCACAUGGUUUUGAAGAUUUCUUUUUGAGUCAACAGAGAGGGGGAAUUGUGGGAAUCCAUGGGAUUAGAGGAUUUUAGAAAAGGUGGGAAAAAGAAAGGCCGCAGAGACAGUAAGGAUAGUGAAAUGCUUAAGCAGCAGAAAAGAGAUAUCAGCAGUAGCGAAGACAUGAGAAAUAGAACAAUAAAGCUAUGUAGUUUGGCUUUCAAAGUUGCAAAAAAGUAUAUUUUAGUAAAUAUUUAGAAGGUUAAAUAUGAAUAGGGCUCUGUGCUUUGUCUUUUGUAAACGAACCAUUGUAUGAGAGAAAAAGUUGCUAUUGUUUUAACCAAAGCUACGUGUGCUUCAUGUGGUUGGAUAGAACGACUGUCAAUAUGCUUUUGCUCUAUGUAAUUGGCUGAAACUAGGUCUGAAACUAUCUUAUAAUAUGUUGUAACACUAAGUUUCCUUGGCCUUCUCUCUGGAUAGCGAGCUGCUCGCAUCGAUCCAUUGCCAUAGCCAUGUAAUGAGACUGAUGCUUUUUAAAUAAACAGCUCACGACGCUGUU